CUGGUUCUGGGGAUGGGGAGAGAAGUCAGGCAGGGAGGGAGAACUGCUUCCACCUUCCACCGCAGCCGCUGCCUCAGCAGCUGGUCCAUUGCGCCUGCCGCUUCAGGCCGCCCUACAGUCCACCACCAGCUAGCUUAGCACAACUCUGGUGAAGAGACUGAAAGAACGGGUAUUUUCCUGUGCCUUAUUCUCUCUGCUCUGAAAAGAAGAUCCAAGCAUUUUUAAUUAUAAGAGGGUGGGGGCUUCCUUCAAUAAACCGAAGCCAUGUACGUGGGUUUGCAAAGAAUCCUUCCCUUCUCUGAAUCAGGCUGAAAGGUUAAGGUGGAGGGCACGGGAAGGCAGUCAGGAUGUCGUGUACAAGGCUGCACUGACAGUCACAAGGACCCAAAGAACUCAGGCAUCCUGUUUCCAAUCCCCCGAGCAUAUGUGGGAGCUUCAAGAUAUGCCACGCGUAUGUGUGAGGAGAUAAAGGUGGAAAAGGAACGAAUUGUUUAUUCAUGUCCUACCCACUCGCUCUGCCCUCUCCCCAUGCCAGCCCUAACUGGGAUUUCUUGUCCUGGGCACUCCAGGCACAAGAGCCCACACAGAUAACAGCAUCAGACACUGCUAUCAUCCAAAGCUUGGGAUGGCGGACAGAGUAAGGAAUCCCAGAAUUGCACUGCACUGCCUGCCGGAGAGACUUUGCCCUUUGCCCCGUGAUGAGGUGUUAUGAUGGGCUGGAGAGCCAAGCAGCAGGGCCUCUGUGCUUGGAGAAUCCAUGCAAGGAGGCAUUAUAAACCAAGGCGCAACAACACCCCUUCCCUUGAUGCUCCCACAUUUCAAGGAGGAGCUACAGCCCUCCAAGGAAUUAUUCAAGACUCCAAAAGUACAAAGAUAAAAGGGUCCAGGUCUUGGAGCCCUACCUGGUGUCCUCUAAAAUGUCAUUUUAUUUUUUAUUUUAUAUGCAUUGAUGUUUUGUCUGCAUGUAUGUCUGAGUGAGGGUGUCAGAUGUUUAAGUUAUAGACAGCUGUGAAACCACGUGGGUGCUGGGAAUCAAACAUGGGUCCCCUGAAGAGCAUUCAGUGCUCUUAACCACUGAGCCAUCUCUUAAGCCCCACUAGUGGCCUCUAAGCAGAGCCAACAGUCCAGGAAGCAGGCCUUUGGAUGGUGGAGUUUGUCCUUGCUGCUAAGUUGCUCGGAAACAGACCUCAGAGUUGCAAGAGUACUGAACUGUCCAAAUGCACACACACACACACACACACACACACACACACACACACACACACAACCAGCAUCUGUCUUCCAUCUGUAUCCUGGACCUGCGACACCCCAUCACACCCAAAAGCAACCCGGAGAUUGUGUUAGAAGCCAGAUGCUGGGAGUGGGGAAGAUGGCAGCCCUGUGACUGUGCAUCAGUAGGUGUAGGACCCACAUUCCUGGUACCUAGGGCUCCUGGUCCUUUGCUUUCUAAACAUAUUUCUUGCAGGUUAUGUAGAUGGUGCUUAUUGGCACCUGCAGAGAUAGCCUAGGAAAGGCUGAAGGAGGCUCUGGGACACCCAGCUGAUGCCUUUGCCAUGGAUCGGUCCCAGACCACCUGCUCUUCCUUGAGACUUGGAAACCUCACUCCCUGUAGUAUAAACCCCUUGCUCUGCAUGCAGCCAGCUUGCUCUGACUUCCUGUUUUCUGUGUCCACACAAUUGCCGUGGCCUGUAAGCACGCACUCACUAUGGUCUGUGAGCAUGAAGGCUGUCAUGGAGGGCCAGAAUUAAUGUAGUUCAGACCCCAGAACCCUCAAAAGGGAGCCUCAGCUCUUGGCCUCUCAAGACUCCACUUUUCUGGCACCCACAGUUCCCGGUUCCUCAGUUUCUAAACCUGCUCCUUGUAGGUUCCACAGAUGCUAGCUGUAAGGCAGCUGCAGAGGGAGUAUGGGGAAGACCUAAGGGGUUUGGGGAAGGACUCCCAUGCAGCUUCUCAGCAGAAGGGGUGUGGCCUUGGAAUUUGACCUCCCCAAGGAGCUGGCAAAGCUGUCAUUUUCUUUGAAGUUUGCAUCUCAGGUCAUAGGGCCCUCAGUCCCUUUCUACCAGCCGUGAGAACCACCCUCAUAUCACCAGACAAGGCCAGUCUGGGGACAAUGGGGGUCUGUCAGAGUGUUCCUGAGGCUUCAGCUCAGGUGUCCGUCUAGGCAGCUGUUAGCCUCCUCUUGCCCUAUUCCGUUCUCCACCAGGGUCCGUCCCCUUUUACAUUCACAAACCUGUUCCUGCCUAGCCACAAGUUCUUCUAUCCCUUCCUCCGCCUGGGUAUCUAAAUGCUUCUCCAGCACAGUGACUUUGUUUUGUGACAUACACUCUAGGUUUUGUUGUUGUUGAUGAUUUUUUUGUUAGUUUGGUUUUUGUUUUGUUUUGUUUUGUUUUGUUUUGAGGCAGGGUCUCUCUACAUAGCCCUGGCUGUCCUAGAACUCUCUAUGUAGAACAGCCUGGCUUUGAACUCACAGAGAUUCACCUACUUCUACCUCCCGAGUGCUGGGAUUCAUGCACUUUGGAGAAACCAUCCUGAACUGUGCCUGGUGGUGCACGCCUUUAAUCCCAACACAGGAAAGGCAGAGGCAGGUGGAUCUCUGUGAGCUCCGGGCCAAGCCAAGCUGCCUUACAUUAGCGGUUUCAGAUCAGCUAGGGCUGUACAGUGAGACAUCAUUUAAAAAAAAAAAUCCUUGGCUAUAUGAUGGAUCACUGUGGAAGAGAAGGCCUGUUGAAGUUUGUGAGCUGGCACUCUCGGUAGGGUGUGUGUGUGUGUGUGUGUGUGUGUGUGUGUGUGUGUGUGUGUGUGUGUGAGAGAGAGAGAGAGAGAGAGAGAGAGAGAGAGAGAGAGAGGGAGGGAGGGAGAGAGACUGCACUAAGCGCCUGGUAAGAACCAAGACCCAGGCAUUUACAUUUCGAAGAUGAAAAGUCAAGGCAAAGAGACUUUAAGUGACUUCCCUAAGGUUGGCAAGGUGUGAGAGGAGGAACAGGCUGUUUACUGCAGUAAUUGAGAAGACAGGGGACCAAUGUUCUCAGCCGUGGCCACCAAGGCAGCUUCCCGAGGAGCUUUGGAGACCUUGAAGCCCAGACCAGUUAGCAUGUAGCUCAGUAGUAGAGCACUUGCCUGGGCCGCGCAAGGCCCUGGUACUAUGAAAAGGAAAAUAAGUCUGUAUUAGCACUUGAUCCUUCCAGCUCCUGCCCCCCUCCCCAUUCCCAGGCCUAUCAGACCCAACUUGGAAAGAAGAACAAGCCUAUUUGAUUUCUUCUAGAUCUUUCUUGGUGCCUAAACCCUGGACCAGACUGGUUACCCCAAAGCAGUAAACAGCCCUGGCAUCCCAUGGAUAUGGUCCAGGCUGGGGAGGGCUUGGCCUGCGAAGGCUUUUUGUCCUUUGCAAAAGUUGACCAGGCGGGAGAUGCCGGGUGCAGGGAUCUAAAGGGUUCUCCUGAAGCCAGAUGUGCUGAAACAUGUUCCGAGAGGUGGUGGUGGUAAAGGUGGGCUGUCGUCAUGGUUCUAGCCUGCAGGGGUGCUUCACACCGUACCCCAGUCUCAGAGUUUCCAAGGGGCAUUGGUGCUGAUGUGGAAGGAUGGAGUCUGGGGGGCGGGAGGGGGGAUCAUUAAACAGUACGUCCAGCGAGCACAUGGGGAUGCAUGUAUGCCUUUCCAGUGGAGUAGAAACUGAGGACAGCUCAGGAGGGAGUGACCGGUGGCCCAGGACUGGAUGAUCAGGGCUACAGGCACAGGAGGAAAGUUACUGUUUCCCCUAUUCAUGACUUCAAUUAGCACCUGUCACAUGGUAAGACCCAGCCACCAGGAUCUUCCUUCACCUGAAAAAAGGGUGCCCUGUGUAGAGGCUCAGACAAAGAAGUGGAGAAAGGAGGAAACGGGAUGGGAUCAAGCCCAGGACCCUGUGCAGGUUAGGCAAACAGCUUACUUUGUUUUGCUUGAGAUACAGUCGUCUCCUGUAGUCUGACCUCACACUUAUGAUCGGAAGAAGCCCAGUCCAGGCAAGGUUCAUGCAUUCUAAGGAAGCACAGUACAAACUUAGCCACAUCCCCAGCUCUAAUGUUUUGUUUUGUUUUGUUUUUUCUUUUUCUUUUUUUCGGAGCUGGGGACCGAACCCAGGACCUUGCGCUUGCUAGGCAAGUGCUCUACCACUGAGCUAAAUCCCCAACCCCAAUGUUUUGUUUUUAAGGAAGAUACACCUGCCGAAUUAUGCCGACCCAUGCCUAUAAUUCCAGCAUUUGGAAGACCGAGGCAGGAGGAUUGUCUGAGUUGCCAGCUUGGCCAAAGAGUAAGACUCGGUCCAUCAAAAAGACGUAAGUCUCUCUUGGGAAAGGCUGAAGACAGUCAAGCUGUCUCUGCUGCCAGAACUGGAGGACCAUGGAUGACGUGGGACCCUGCACGACGAUCAUGCACCUCGGGUGCGCGUCAGUGAUCUCUUACCACGGUCUCUGUGGAAAUUCAGUAAAAAUACACGUGGUGCUUGGCGUUAGCCUGGAACACAGCAUUCCAGAUGCACGCCUGUCAGGUGUCCCCUCUCUUUCCAACCCUUUCCAGUCAAGGGAGCCUUCUUGAUUUCACAAAUUGAAACUGUUGCAGUGCUGGCGUAGAGCAGAAGAGGGUGCGCUCCACACAGCCACCGAGUUUAGCAGGAUCCCUUAGCUGAGCCGGGUCCUGGCUGGGGACCGGCCCCGCCCCGUCCCUGGCUGCGGUCUGCAAGCGGGCGGGCGCAGGCGCACUGCUCUCAGCCAAGCGGCCUUCCUGCUUUGGGGGUGAGGGAAUUGGGCCUGCACCUACAGCCUCAACCAUUGAUUCCCCACUCAGCCUCAAGUUGAGCUAGUUACUAACACGCCCUGUUUGUCCUAAACCUCCUUGGCUCAGACCCCGGGCCGGUGGGGAGGCACCACUAGGGCGCUAGAUGUUGAUGAAAGAUCCCUCGUCCCCGUUGGCUGUCUCAGGUUCCACGCAGCGCCCCUUCCUUCGAGUGACCCUGCGGUUCCGGUGGAAUUUGGCAUAGCAGCGCAGCCCUGAGUGGAAGAAGGCAAGGGAGUCAGAACUGAGGGUGACUGUCCCCUCCCUUCUCCUCCAGCCUUCUCAGGCUUCUCAUCCUACAGCUCCUACACACACCGAAUCUGAAAAGACUUAAGAAACUGGGACAGGUCUGUACAGCAUCCCAACAGUUACACACAACCUCAUAAAUUUAGAAAAAAAGUUGAGCAUGGUGGCCCACUCUUUAAUCCCAGCAUUUGGGAGGCCCCAGAGGCAACCGGAUCUCUGACUGAGGCCAGCCUGGUGUACAGAGUGAGUUCCAGGACAGCCAGGGUUACACGGAGAAACCCUGUCUUGGGGAAAAACAACAAACAAACAAAAACAAAACAGAAGGCAUCCAUAGCAGCAAACAAAAGACCCUGUCUCUAGCAACGUAGAAGGCAGGGGCUGACACCUAGGAUUGCCCUCGACUCAACACAUGGGCCAGGCUCAUCGACACUCAAAUACAAGCACAUACAUAGAUCACACACAAACACUUCAAACUCACACUACACAAGCACGCCAUACGCGCAAACACAAGAAGUCUCUCUCGAACACCCUAAUUAACUUAAGUGUGGCCCUGCUGAUGCCAGUGGGUGGGUAUCCCGCCCAUGGCUCUGUUUAUCAGGGCUGUGUGAAUUAUUAUUACCUGAGGUGUGAAUAGAUGUUUUUUCAUUUAAGAUCAUAGUAGGCCCCACCCUCCUGAUAACAGGAAAGGAGCCAUCUCUGUGGCCCAAGAAACCUCUGCAUUUCAGGGUUGGAGUGACUGGGGGUGAGAGGACACCUCUGCUUCAAGAUCCACGUAUGUCAUCGGCUGCAGGGGGUGGGGGGUAAGAGGGGCUGCUGGGAAGUUUGUGAUUGGAAGCCUAGAGUGUGUUUUGAGACAAGGUCUCACGUAACCUAGGCUGGCCUCCCACUUGCUAUGUAGCUGAGGAUGACCUUGGCCUCCUGAUCCUCUGGUCUCCACAGCCAAAGCCCUGGGAUCACAGGUGUGCUACACUGAGCUUAGUUUUAUGUGGUGCUGGGUGAGUGACCCAAGGCUCUUCGUAACUAAGCAAGCACUCUGCCAGCUCAGCCAGAUUCCCAGCCCCAUGGCCCAGCACUUGGUCAAAGUGACACCGGAGGACCAGUUGCAGGAGCAGGAGUGUUAGGUGGCUACAGAAGCCCUUAGGAACUUCCAGGCUCUGCCGGCCAGGCCUGCUCUGGUCCCUUGAAGGUCCUUUCUGUGUGGCACCUGGAUAAACUCCCUUACUCUCUGGCCAUGUUUAAUGAGGUAUCCAAGCCCCAUAGCUUACAUUCUCCCCUUUGUCCCUGGAACCUGAGUGUCCAGGAAGAAGCAGGGGGUGGAACCAAUCAAUUUAAGGGGUCACGAUUAGGCCCUGGAUGUGGACACCUUGAGGACCUCUAGAAAGCAGUGUGAGCGGCUUGCCGUCUGAGGCCCACAGGGGAGGCUUUCCUCCUCAGAGCCUCCCACGGCCCCCUUACCAGGCCAACACGGAGGACUCAACGGCUCACCUGUACACUGCGAACUUGCCUGUGCUCUCACCACAGGCGACGGUGGCGUCUUAUAUCUCCUCACUCUGGUCUGUCUCUACCCUCUCUAAUCUCCCAGCCUGUCCCCUGUCCUCCACCGUCCCCAGUCCUGCAAUCAGAGAUAACUUUUUUUGUGGGGAACACAGGGUCUCAUGCAUUCCAGGCUGUCCACCUGUGAAUGGAGUUGAGAUCCCAAUCGCCCCUUAAUCUCUCAAGUGCUUAGAUUGUGCCCACACCCAAUUUCCACUGGCAAUGGAGCCCAGGGCCUAGUGUACGCAAGGUAACCUAAACAGAACUUCAUCUUCAGCCACAGAGCUAGACCAUGCGGCUUCCCUGCGUACAUGUGGGCCUGACUUCCAAUCACCAAUCAAACAAAAUCUAAACAAGGGCAACACGGUGUGGUUCUUCUGGAAACUUCUCUCAUCCUUCUCCAGGGGUCGGAGCCAGACCAGGCCAGGCCGUUCCUGCCCAAGGAACGGACCUCAGGAAUGGAGAAGGCACGGGCUCUUUUGUGGCUGGGAACUAGACUUGGAAUGUGACUCAGGUUCUCACAGCAGCUGGGAGAGGAUUUUGCCCUCAGAGCCCGGAAGGAAGGUUGGAUUCCGAUGGCCUGUCCAUUCUGAUACCUUGUAAUUUAAAAGGGUGAUUAUUUCUCAGAGCUGUGUGCCGAAAUAAACACUGUAUAAAUAAAUAAAGAUCGUAUGGAAACAAGG
This is a non-coding RNA of Rattus norvegicus (Norway rat), 7268 nucleotides long. The record is from RefSeq and is a predicted model, not a curated record. NCBI's taxonomy places the organism in Eukaryota, Metazoa, Chordata, Mammalia, Rodentia, Muridae.